GAGUAAUGCGUGACCAACCUGCCCCAUGCUCCAGAAUAGCUCUUGGAAACGGGUGGUAAUGCUGGAUGCUCCAACUUGACGCAUGUCUUGUUGGGAAAGUGUUUAGUGGCAUGGGAUGGGGUCGCGUCCUAUCAGCUUGUAGGCGGGGUAAUGGCCCACCUAGGCUUCGACGGGUAGCCGGCCUGAGAGGGCGGACGGCCACAUUGGGACUGAGACACGGCCCAGACUCCUACGGGAGGCAGCAGUC
Molecule: ribosomal RNA, 247 nt
Filed under: uncultured Gardnerella sp.
Lineage: Bacteria; Bacillati; Actinomycetota; Actinomycetes; Bifidobacteriales; Bifidobacteriaceae
Description: partial 16S ribosomal RNA
Rfam family: Bacterial small subunit ribosomal RNA
Source: RNAcentral